AACGGCUCAUUACAAUGGCCAUGAUUUACUUGAUCUUGAUUAAUCCUAAAUGGAUAACUGUGGAAAAUCUAGAGCUAAUACAUGCACUAAAGCUUUGACCUUACGGAAAAGCGCAUUUAUUAGAACAAAACCACGCGGCUUCGGCUGCUUUUUGUUGACUCAGAAUAACUAAGCUGACCGCAUGGCCUCGUGCCGGCGGCGUGUCUUUCAAGCGUCCACUUUAUCAACUUGACGGGAGCAUAAUCGACUCCCGUGGUUGUGACGGAUAACGGAGGAUAAGGGUUCGACUCCGGAGAAGGGGCCUGAGAAAUGGCCACUACGUCUAAGGAUGGCAGCAGGCGCGCAAAUUACCCACUCUCGGCUCGAGGAGGUAGUGACGAGAAAUAACGAGACCGUUCUCAUUGAGGCCGGUCAUCGGAAUGGGUACAAUUUAAACCCUUUAACGAGUAUCAAGGAGAGGGCAAGUCUGGUGCCAGCAGCCGCGGUAAUUCCAGCUUUCCUAAUGCAUAGAAUUAUUGCUGCGGUUAAAAAGCUCGUAGUUGGAUUCGUAUCGAUACUCUGGAACCCUUCGGGUGUUUCUGGAUGUUAUCGUUUUAUCGUAAUGUUCGGUUUUGAGUCCUUAACAGGAUUCUUAACAGGCAUUGCAAGUUUACUUUGAACAAAUCAGAGUGCUUCAAACAGGCGUUUCGCUUGAAUGAUCGUGCAUGGAAUAAUAGAAAACGAUUUCGGUUCAGUUUUAUUGGUUUUACGGACUGAGAUAAUGGUUAACAGAGACAAACGGGGGCAUUUGUAUGGCCACGUGAGAGGUGAAAUUCUUGGACCGUGGCCAGACAAACUACAGCGAAAGCAUUUGCCAAGAAUGUCUUCAUUAAUCAAGAACGAAAGUCAGAGGUUCGAAGGCGAUCAGAUACCGCCCUAGUUCUGACCGUAAACGAUGCCAACUAGCGAUCCGCCGAUGGAGAUUAUAAUUGCCUUGGUGGGGAGCUUCCCGGAAACGAAAGUCUUCCGGUUCCGGGGGAAGUAUGGUUGCAAAGCUGAAACUUAAAGGAAUUGACGGAAGGGCACCACCAGGAGUGGAGCCUGCGGCUUAAUUUGACUCAACACGGGAAAACUCACCCGGCCCGGACACUGUGAGGAUUGACAGAUUGAUAGCUUUUUCAUGAUUCAGUGGAUGGUGGUGCAUGGCCGUUCUUAGUUCGUGGAGUGAUUUGUCUGGUUUAUUCCGAUAACGAGCGAGACUCUAACCUACUAAAUAGUUGAUAUUUAUUUAUAAGAAUACAACUUCUUAGAGGGAUUUGCGGUGUUUAGCCGAAAGAAAUUGAGCAAUAACAGGUCUGUGAUGCCCUUAGAUGUCCGGGGCUGCACGCGCGCUACACUGGCAAAAUCAACGUGCUUGUCCUUCCCCGAAAGGGGCGGGUAAACCAUUGAAAAUUUGCCGUGAUUGGGAUCGGAAAUUGCAAUUAUUUUCCGUGAACGAGGAAUUCCAAGUAAGUGCGAGUCAUCAGCUCGCGUUGAUUACGUCCCUGCCCUUUGUACACACCGCCCGUCGCUGCCCGGGACUGAGCCAUUUCGAGAAAUU
This 1579-nucleotide ribosomal RNA is filed under the name Meloidogyne graminicola. Its description in RNAcentral is "SSU rRNA". It matches the Rfam family "Eukaryotic small subunit ribosomal RNA", at positions 92 to 1708 of the family's 1831-position model. Lineage: Eukaryota; Metazoa; Nematoda; Chromadorea; Rhabditida; Meloidogynidae. The record is from RNAcentral.